GAAAUGCUACGUAGGAUAAAUUAAGCCUUGAGCAAGUGGCACCAGCUUAAAUGCAAAAUCUUGUAAAAUAAAUAUAUUAUUUAUAGUUUUAAACAUGCACCCACUUCAAAAUAACCUCAAAUUAAACUGAAUAUGAGGGAUUGGGCCUUUUCAAAUCAAAUUCACCUCCACGUGUCCCUGAGUUCAAUUUGUUUUGCAGAAGAACAGAAGUUAAAACCAAAGUUGUUUGCGUGUUAAGAGUACCUGGCUGCGAUCCUUCCCAGCUCCAUCAGGCACAAACAAACCUCCCGAGGCUGCUUGUGAAGGACUUCACACAGCACAUAAACAAAGGGAAGAGAGGGGGCAGAGGCAAGAAAGUUACUCAUCUGAGAGGAAAAGAUGCUUUCAGAGAUAAACUUCCACCUCUGUCAAAACAAAAACAGGAGCUGCACCCGGAGCAGACGACACGUUUCAGGAGGGUCUCCGUCUUUAUUGUGUAUCUCUAUCUUUGAAGCUGAUCGGGAAUUCCUGUGGGCUGUCAAAUAAAUCGAAGCUGAGGGCAUGAGGGCAGGAGAGCUUUGUCUGUCCAGAAUGUAUACAUUAAAAGGGAUCUUCUUUCAAACCGAGCCUUGGUUAUAGUGUAUUUUAUGUGGAAAGUUUCAUUGUGAAAUGACUAAGUGUAUUUGUAUGUUUAUCUGCUGCAUCUCUGCUGUCGUCCCUGAAGCCUUCUCUCCCUGUCAUUCAGCUGAAGUGGCUUCGUCUGCCUGCAGGCUGGAUUUAUUGUUCGCGGGGAUUAACCUGCACAUUAUCAUUCUCACGCAGCAAGAGCCUUGCAAAGACAUGCCCAGGUUUGUGUGAUUGAAUAGUUGUGCGGUUGUCUCACCUUGCCGCCGUCGCCGCCGAUCAUCUUCUCCUGGAGCAGCUGUGCCAUCUGACAGAGGACAACGCCGUUAUCCAACCUCUCCACGAGAUCGUCUGCGGUGGCGGUAAUGAGGCUUAAGCACUUGGCACUACCCGUCAUUCAAACAGUAGAACAAGGAAGUAGCUGCUGUUCCAAUUGAAGAGAUCGUACUUGUGUACUCCUGUACUUGUUCCGACUUCCGAUGUAAAUGGAAUGCAGAAAAACAAAAACCUCAAUGAAACAUCAGAGUGAGAGUACAAGUUGGAGCUGUGGAGCGUUUGCCGUCACCUCAGCAGCAGCCAUUAGCUGGGCAGUCUCCCCGAUGCUCUCCUCAAUGUAGCAGCGCUCCUCAUCGGUGAUUGUUGGGUGUUCAGCAGGGCUCUCAUAAGACACAAGGAUCCAGAACAUGUACCAGAAUAUGCCAAAGCACCCUGCAGAGGCAGAUUACAGGAGAGAUUCUUCAGAUUCUUAACAGAGGAAGUCCAACUUAUUAAGCUGCAAAUGAAGCACUGCAGCUAUUGGGGAAUUAGAGCCAGACACGAAAGCUUAACUGGACUCACUUCAGUCCGGUGCAGAAAGAUUGAUGGUUAUUUACAGGCAUGCCAAAACAUUGGACGAGAUCAAUACACAGUCUGUUGGGAUAAAUCUAUUUGACUUUCACUGGGCUUUCUCACUGUUGAAUUCUCCGGUUUAAAAACACUUCAGCCAAACAUUUGCUGACACUGGGGAUCCAAGAGCCUUAGAUCACUGUCCUAUAGGAGACUCUCACAGUGCACUCACUUGACGGUGGUUGGGGGUCAGACCCUUGGUGAGACAGGCGGCUAUAGAAGGUUAGCAGAGCAAUGUUUGUCAUGGCUAACUACUGUACAUAUGUCUGACAUCGGCAACGAGGAGAACAAGCUUGUUCGAGAGCUCCGUUUGGCCUGUGUAGGGUUUGAGCUGGCCAGCACUAGCGUUGAAGUGUUUGCAUAAUGUGAUAUAGGAUUGGCCAACGCUUGGAAAGUUGAACAUUUCUCAACUUACAUUUUCCAUUUAAGCUUUUUAGCAGAAAGAGAAUGAGAGUGCAGAAGGAGAUGGUGCAGGGGAGGGGGUAUGGGGUAGGGUAAGGGCUAGGACAGAAGAUGCUCUUGGAAGAGCUGGGUUGUCAAGAGCUUCUUGAAGACGGCCAGGGACACCCCUGUUCUGGUAGCGCUCGGCAGGUCGUUCCACCAGCGUGGAAACAGUCUGGAUUGUCGUGUGCGGGGUGUGACGACAAUCCUUUGAUGAAGGGAGUAGUCAAGGGGGGGUAACAUGAGCCAAUUACAGUAGGUUCAUGCGAGUCAGCCGUCAGGGGAGGUGGUUGGGGUAGGGUAAGGGCUAGGACAGAAGAUGCUCUUCGAAGAGCUGGGUCGUCGAGAGCUUCUCGAAGACGGACAGGGAUGCCCCUGUUCUGGUAGCGCUUGGCAGGUCGUUCCACCAGUGUGGAAAGAGUCUGGAUUGUCAUGUGCGGGGUGUUGACGACAAUCCUUUGAUGAAGGGAGUAGUCGAGGGUGGGUCACAUGAGCCAAUUACAGUAGGUGCAUGCGAGUCAGCCGGCAGAGUGAGUGUGAGUAUCUAAUCGGGAUGGCACGAUACCACUUUUUUGUAUUUGUUACCAAUAUCACUCAGCCAUUUUAGACCCUUUAAACUGUUGACAACACAUUUGUGGCAUUUCAAGCUAUUGUGUUUGGAUUGUAUUGGAUUUUACAUUUUUUUUAUCUGUCCGAUAUCCGAUCCAGUGAUUUUGACCAGUAUCUGACUGAUACUGAGUAUCAUAUCGGCUCAUCCCUAGUAUCUAAUCAGCCAAUCCCAUGGUGGCUUCCCACCCCACAAUGACAAUGCAUUGUGCCUCAACUAAGGAAUACAAUCAUCCGUCCAAAACUGUCAAGGAAGCUGGUAAAAUACAGUAAUAGGCAUAUACAGACAAGGUUUGCAGAAGACUUGGUCCUUUCUGUCCAGUGGUGAUCAUCCACUCUUGGAUGAAGUAAUUCAUCUCUCUUCUGGAAGGAGAAACGAGCUCUCCAGAGUCAGAACUAAUAGAUUUCCCUAUGUUCCAAUCAAGACUAUCAGUCUGCACAAUUCUUGAUAGUUCUUUUAAAUCUGAAUUUUGAUUAGGAUUGCUUUAAGUCAAAUUUGGUUGUGUGUGUCCAUGGUGUCCUCUGUCCUUGUUUAUUAUGUUUCUUUGUUAAUAAAUUAUUAUAUUGAUUUUUGUACCAUCUAACUGGAAAAUAAAUGUCCCUUUGUGGGACAAUAAAGCUCUGAACUGAACAGAAGACCAUCUCUGAACACACAACCAGGACCACACUUGAUGCCACUAUAUUAGAUGUCAUUUGUACCUAAUAAAGUGGCCAGAGCGUGGAUAUAACAUGUAGGACCUCAUCAGUCAAUCUUACCAUAUACAUAGAAGACUGAGGACCAGCCGGUGUACUGAACUAGGAUCCCAGCCAGAGGCAUCGCUAUCACAGCUCCAGCGUAGGACCCUGACAAAACAGACAAAAACAGUUUUAAUCAGUAUAUUAACAUUUAAAACACCAAAGAAAUGAAGGGAAAUAGAGACAGCUGAGUGUUUACCACAGAAUGAUAUGGUGGCCAGACGACUUCUCUCCAGUGGAGGUGCCCACUUACUCCAGAUGCCAUGGCAGGCCGGAUAAGUCACUCCCUAAAGAGACCACAGAGCAACAGUCGGUCUUUAUUCGCGGUGAGGACAACACGCGAAAAGAGACCGGAUGUCUAAGUGUUUCACUCUAAAGAGCCGAGUCAUCGUGAUCUGUAAAUGUGUGUGUUGAACGAGAAUGGACAACAAAGAGCUGACAAAGAUGAUCAAAUACAGUUACAGACCCCAUGUGUAAAAUAAUUUGCACCCAUCUCGGCCCAGUAAAUAUUGGAUGUCGAAAUGCAAGUAAGAAUUAACAUUUUCACCCCGAUUAACACGAGCCGUUCAUGGAGCAAAGCAGCUCUUAAAUCUGCAGCCAUUAGUUCUUCAUCAGUCACUAAUUUGAACAAACUGCACUGAUGUGAAAUCAGCAUGGACUUCCUGAAGACAGCGCUGUGCGUCAUCUGUGCGCACUGAAAUGAGAUUUUAAUUUUAAUAUUUUACUUCAUAAUACCUCGUUUUUUUGGACAUCUUAAUAGAAAAUGAUCAUAUUUCUGUGCAUGUGACUUCAACGACCAGUCAAAGAUGGUUUGUUGUACUAUAUCUGUGUGUCAUGUUGCACUACAAAGCCAGGGGAUUGAUUUGCUUUUGAAUAUCAGCAUUUUCCUUUCCAUCCAUUUGAGAACAUGUGUAUGAAUCUUUGUUGCCAGGAUACAAAGUGACAGUAAAAAAAAAACCAAACACAUAGUGGCCCUGAAUCAAUACUAUGCAUCUUAUAUUUCCUCCGGCUGUGAGUCUCAUGUUACAGUCUUUCCCUUUCAUGCCUUCAUGUGGAGUACAUCACCGCUAAUCCCCAUGCAGCCAUUCACGGACACAAUAACACGGACGCAACCUCAGACUCAUGGCACCUGCUUUUGUUCUGGCCACGGUGAGAGUGUGAACAGUGUGUCCAGCACUCCGCGGCACAAAGGAAAGCUCCAGAAAUACAACACCUUUAACAGUCUCUUACCUCCACCAGGCCUUGUAAUAUCCUCACAAAGAUGACACAUCCAUAAUGCACCCGAGCGGCCGAGGGGAUGAACAUGUUGAGCGUGGAGGUGAGGAUAAUGGCUGCACCAAACACCCUGCAAAUCAUCAAAUGCUGGUUAAAUGUAGCAUUUUUAUGAAAUAUUCACAUUUUUAAAAGGAAAAAUGACAAAUAUUGUCACUUUAUACCAAAAAUAUCC
Molecule: long non-coding RNA, 4717 nt
Organism: Solea solea (common sole)
Lineage: Eukaryota; Metazoa; Chordata; Actinopteri; Pleuronectiformes; Soleidae
Exons: 5
Source: RefSeq, a predicted model, not a curated record